AUUGAACGCUGGCGGCAUGCCUUACACAUGCAAGUCGAACGGCAGCGGGCCUUCGGGUGCCGGCGAGUGGCGAACGGGUGAGUAAUGCAUCGGAACGUGCCAUUGAGUGGGGGGAUAACGUAGCGAAAGUUACGCUAAUACCGCAUAUUCUGUGAGCAGGAAAGCAGGGGACCGCAAGGCCUUGCGCUCUUUGAGCGGCCGAUGUCAGAUUAGCUAGUUGGUGAGGUAAAGGCUUACCAAGGCGACGAUGUGUAGCGGGUCUGAGAGGAUGAUCCGCCACACUGGAACUGAGACACGGUCCAGACUCCUACGGGAGGCAGCAGUGGGGAAUUUUGGACAAUGGGCGCAAGCCUGAUCCAGCCAUGCCGCGUGAGUGAAGAAGGCCUU
This 387-nucleotide ribosomal RNA is filed under the name uncultured bacterium. Its description in RNAcentral is "bacterial SSU rRNA". It matches the Rfam family "Bacterial small subunit ribosomal RNA", at positions 30 to 418 of the family's 1533-position model. The record is from RNAcentral.